Molecule: RNA transcript, 1669 nt
Organism: Salmo salar (Atlantic salmon)
Lineage: Eukaryota; Metazoa; Chordata; Actinopteri; Salmoniformes; Salmonidae
Gene name: methionine--tRNA ligase, cytoplasmic-like
Source: RefSeq, a predicted model, not a curated record
UGAGAGGAUCUGCAAAGAACAAUGGGAGAAACUCCCUAAAUACAGGUGUGCCAAGCUUGUAGUGUCACCCAAGAAGUCUCAAGGCUGUAAUCGCUGCCAAAGUUGGAGGCUGAGUUGGACAAGUAGCUGGAGAAGUCUACUGGGUCAGGAGACUGGAUGGCCAACGCCAAACAGAUCACAUGGUCCUGGCUGAGGGACGCACUCAAAUCCCGCUGUAUCACCAGGGACCUGAAGUGGGGAACCCCCGUACCUCACCUCAACUUCUCUGACAAGGUGUUCUAAGUGUGGUUUGAUACUCCUAUUGGUUACCUGUCCAUCACAGCCAACUACACUGACCAAUGGGAGAAGUGGUGGAAGAAGGUAUGUAGCAGGUAGAGCUGUAUAACCGUUACACUGUGUUGUGUCCCCCUGCUCUGGUCAACCACCUGGACAGGGACAGGACUCUGCCUUCUCCUGGGCCGACAUGGCCAUCCAGAACAACUCUGAACUGCUCAAUAACCUGGGCAACAUCAUCAACAGAGCUGGUGUUUGUCAGUAAGUUCUUUGAGAACUGUGUCCCUGCUAUGUAGCUUCAGCAGGAGGAUAAGAGACUGUUGUCCCAGGUGGGAUGGGAGCUGAAGCAGGACAUCAACCUCAUGGACAAAGUCAAGUAAAGAACAGGCUACACACACACACUGUAAACAGGCUACACACAACCAAGUUACACACCAACAGACUAUCAACGUGUUGUUAUGCAUUUAUAAGCUAAGUAGUAUUUCUCCUUAAAAGUUGAGUUGAUAGCAUUACCGCUCCAUAUAGACUGACAAAUGGAUGGUGCUAUCCCAUCUCUUUUCUUUUCUGGAAGAAAAACUAUUUAGUACACACCAGUGUUUCCUCUGGAAAAUGUGUUAGCUGUGGAGGAAAAGUUAGUGGAAUAAAUAAAUAAUAAAUAAAUAAAGAAUAAUAGGAGAAGGGUGAGGGACAAAGAGGAUCUACUUUCAAAUUCAAAUGUUCUUACUUGUUUCAUUGCAGCGAAGUCCCUCUCACAAUUAACGUAAGACACUGGUAAAGUCAGUGCGAUUGCUGCCAGCUGGCUAAGGCAGGGGUGGACUGCCCCCACUCAUCAAACUGCGAGGUCAGCUUUGUCAUUGUCGUCCGCUGGUCCAACCCCUGAAAUACAUGAAAAACUAAAAGAUGUACAACAUUAAAGAAGAGCCAACAGAGUGGUAGUUCAACAGGAAAAAGGGUUGGGCAACACUGGCCUAAAAUGUCCUCUUCAAAAGAUUGUCACACUCAUGCCAUACCUUGAAUGAUCCAACAAGCACAUGUUGCUUGUAAGAGGGCCACUCUUGCAGCACAGCAGCCUCUAGCACUUGCAAUAACUGCCUGGAGAGGAGGGUCAGGUUAAAGGUGUUUAUCCUCUCACUAUAGAACGCAGCCUGAGGUCCCAACAUACUGAAGGCCCCCAGAAUCUCCAGGUGUUGGAAUCUCCAGCCUAGGCUGUCCUGGAGGCCAACAAGAUAUGGAUCCAUGACCUAAUUACAGCACAAAGCAGAAAAUAAGUGAUUAAUAGCUGUUUGUUUUAGUUUAUCCAACACACAUGAUGUAACGUUGGUUUCAUCACAGCAUUUGAAAACAAAUGUUUUUACCUCCUCUCUGAACCAAACCCAGAACUGCUCCCUGUUCUUGG